RNAcentral lists this unclassified non-coding RNA (376 nucleotides) under uncultured bacterium. RNAcentral's name for it is "contains 16S-23S intergenic spacer region". The record is from RNAcentral.
UUCGAGUUGUCCCCGGCAGUCCUCUUAAAGUCCCCGGCAUUACCCGCUGGUAACUAAGAGCAGGGGUUGCGCUCGUUGCGGCACUUAAGCCAACACCUCACGGCACGAGCUGAAGACAGCCAUGCAACACCUGUGUAGGGCCCUUGCGGACACCGUGUCUCCACGGCUUUCCCCAAGAUGUCAAGCCCAGGUAAGGUUCUUCGCGUUGCGUCGAAUUAAACCACAUGCUCCACCGCUUGUGCGGGCCCCCGUCAAUUCCUUUGAGUUUCAGCCUUGCGGCCGUACUCCCCAGGCGGGGCACUUAAUGCGUUAGCGCCGGCGCCCAGGGGGUCGCUCCCCCAGGCACCUAGUGCCCAUCGUUUACGGCGUGGACUAC